This 158-nucleotide ribosomal RNA is filed under the name Gigaspora margarita. RNAcentral's name for it is "5.8S ribosomal RNA". It matches the Rfam family "5.8S ribosomal RNA". Rfam says of the family: 5.8S ribosomal RNA (5.8S rRNA) is a component of the large subunit of the eukaryotic ribosome. It is transcribed by RNA polymerase I as part of the 45S precursor that also contains 18S and 28S rRNA. The record is from RNAcentral. Lineage: Eukaryota; Fungi; Glomeromycota; Glomeromycetes; Diversisporales; Gigasporaceae.
AAACUUUCAACAAUGGAUCUCUUGGCUCUCGCAUCGAUGAAGAACGCAGCGAAAUGCGAUAAGUAAUAUGAAUUGCAGAAUUCCGUGAAUCAUCAAAUCUUUGAACGCAAAUUGCACUUCUUGGUAUUCCGAGGAGUACACAUGCUUGAGGGUCAGUU